AGAUUACUCGUGUCUUGGAUGAGAAUAAAUUAAUGAGAUACAUUGGUGUAGAUCUAUUAAUAUUUAUGGUACGUGCUUUAAUGUUUGGAUGUUUUGAUUUUUUGUUGGAUUUUCUAGUAUGUCUAUUUUAUUUGGUUAGCUUGGCAUGAAAUUCUAAUAAAUAUUGGCUGUAGUUACAACAACCCUGUGACUUUGGUAUUGCGGGGCAGGUGCGGCAUGUGGCUAGACUCACGACGUGCCAUCGGCUUGUGCAGAAAAGAAGCAUGGACAACUUUUUAUGCUCAAGUGGAAAUUGAGUCUAAACUUGUUAGUUGGGCAUAUUUUGGCAAUGCACAUAUCAACUUAUAUAUGUGAUAUUAAUUAGAGAACAGAGUAGUUUAAAAAAAGAAACAAAGGGGUACAUGCAAAGUACGGGUGCUAUAUAUUGGCAUUGGAUACCAAGUUCUAGGUAUAUUAUGAGACAGAGAUAAUAUUAACUAAAGAACAAAACAAUUCCUGGAAAAAAGAGGAGCUUGAUGUGCCAGUACAGUCACCUGGGAGGGGCUAGCGCGGCAUCAAUUCCAACGGAGAUGUUGGACGCCCUACGGCACCCCAGUUCUUUUUUACUGAUCCGUCCGUCUGACACCUACAUCAAUUAGCCAUCUGUGCUCGUGAUGGGAGAGACCAGCGUUCAGCCCCUGGUACUGUGUAAUUCAUCGUGUACCUCUGCAUCCAUGGCAUCUCUAUGUGGACGGAACUUAAAAUCCAGGACAUCAUGGAGCGGUGGAUAAGAACGACGCUAGGGUUCUCUCUAGCAAGUUUUGCUGCGUUGGUGGAGCAGGAAAUCCGAGGGAAUCUUCAAGGAAAUAUUUCUGGAAGACAACUCUCUUUUUUUAGUUGGGUUGAUCUUCUGAUGUACGGAUGAAUGGGCAUGACUCUUUUUGUAAGAUCUUUCUGUUUCUAUGAACCGGACGUGACCAAGCGUAAUUUUUUUCUGAAGAUCUUCUUUCUUAUUUGGGUUGUAAAUCUUUUUUUAGUUAGGUUGUAAUUUUUUUUCUAGUUCUUUCUAUGUACGAACGUGUCUUUUUUAGUUGGGUUCCUAUGUACGGACGUAAGUGGGCAUGCCUUUUUUCAGGAUCUUCCUAUCCCUAAUGGACCGGACGUGACUGGGCUUUUUUUU
This is a long non-coding RNA of Triticum aestivum (bread wheat), 1159 nucleotides long. RefSeq lists it as uncharacterized. The record is from RefSeq and is a predicted model, not a curated record. The transcript has 2 exons. NCBI's taxonomy places the organism in Eukaryota, Viridiplantae, Streptophyta, Magnoliopsida, Poales, Poaceae.